UCAGGACGAACGCUGGCGGCGUGCUUAACACACGCAAGUCGAACGAUGACGAUGGUGCUUGCACCGUCUGAUUAGUGGCGAACGGGUGAGUAACACGUGAGUAACCUGCCCUCCUCUUCGGGAUAACCGCCGGAAACGGUGGCUAAUACCGGAUAUGAAUGCCUGCCGCAUGGUGGGUGUUGGAAAGAUUUAUCGGUGGGGGAUGGACUCGCGGCCUAUCAGUUUGUUGGUGAGGUAAUGGCUCACCAAGGCGAUGACGGGUAGCCGGCCUGAGAGGGCGACCGGCCACACUGGGACUGAGACACGGCCCAGACUCCUACGGGAGGCAGCAGUGGGGAAUAUUGCACAAUGGGCGAAAGCCUGAUGCAGCGACGCCGCGUGGGGAUGACGGCCUUCGGGUUGUAAACCUCUUUCAGUAGGGAAGAAGCGAGAGUGACGGUACCUGCAGAAGAAGCGCCGGCUAACUACGUGCCAGCAGCAGC
This 482-nucleotide ribosomal RNA is filed under the name uncultured bacterium. RNAcentral describes it as "bacterial SSU rRNA". It matches the Rfam family "Bacterial small subunit ribosomal RNA", at positions 24 to 518 of the family's 1533-position model. The record is from RNAcentral.